AUGAAUCAAUCAAUCAUCCCCCACGACCCUCAAUCAAAAAAAAAAAUUAUCACCCCCCUGACUGGGAGGCAGGGGAAAAUGGCGGCCACCUCCCCUUCGGCGGCGCCGCCCGCCACCGCCGGCGACUGCCCCCACCCGACCUACACCGAGGCGCUCACCGAGCUGGGAGGCACCUCCGGCCGCAUCGCCAUCGCCGCCUUCAUCCUCAGCCGCUUCACGGGCCUCCCCGCCACCCACGACAAGCUCCUCAAAGCCAACCUCCGCCGCCUCGUCUCCGAAGGCGUCGUCCGCGGCUACGGGUCAAAAUCGAGAUCUUGCUACGUCUUCCCCGCCUCCGACACGCGCGGUCGUGGCCGGCCCUCCAAGCCCAACAAUAAGGAUUUGUCGGAUCUCGAUUUGGAGGAUGACACAACCGCAACUCCCCUCCCCAAGAAUCUCAAUUUACAUGAAUCCAGUGAGAUGAUUUGGCCGGCCCGGCAACGACGCAACUCCGGCUCCGGCUCCGGCUCCCAGCCCCAGCAGAAUUAUUCCGAUCCCGGUUUGGAUGGAUUCCAGAGUAACAGCAGCAGUGGCGAGGAUGACGUUGAUGAUGAUGAAUACACUCCACACAAGCGAGGCACUGGGAGACCAAGGAAGAUACUGAGAGGGCGUGGGAGGCCGAGAAAGGACGAGCAACAAUCACAAUCACAAGCAAAACAUCCUCCAACUCCAACUGCAACUGCGUCGUCAACCGGUGGCAUGCAACAAUCAGAAGCAGAAGCAGCAGCAGCAGAGCCUCGUAAGGUUGCCCUCUCUGCGAAUGGAGAUGCUGCCUCCCCAUCGACCAAGAGUGGCCGUGGGAGGCCAAGGAAGAUACCGGGAGGGCGUGGGAGGCCGAGAAAGGACGAGCAGCAAUCACUAGCAAAGCAUUCUCCAACUGCAGCUGCGUCAACUGGUAAAGCAGCAGCAGCAGCAGAGCAUCCUCCAACUCCAUUGUCAACUGAUGGUAUCAAGAGAGGGCGUGGGAGGCCGAGAAAGGAGGCCGACAAAGGAGGAUCAACAAAGGCCGGUCCUCCUGCUCCUGCUGCAUCGGCAGGAGUCAAGAGAUCGCGUGGGAGGCCAAGAGUGUACAGACCAAUGCCCGUCAAAACUGGAGAUGAACUUGAGAAUCCAGUAUCAGUUGAUGUCGCACUUGAGAAUCCAAGAAUGCACAGGCCAUCAUCAGCUGAUAUUGUGUCCAUGGUCAUGAAGAGAGGAAUACCUGCUAAGGCUCGAGAUGCAAGGCCUGCUGAAGCUGGAGAUGCAAUACCUGCUAAAGCUAGAUAUGCAAGGCCUGCUGAAGCUGGAGAUGCAACGCCUGCUGAAGAAACUGGAGGUGCUGCGUCGACGGGAAUCAAGAGACCACGUGGGAGGCCAAGAAAGGAGAAGCCAGCAGCAGCAAUGUCUGCUCAAGCUGGGGAUGCUGUGUCGGCCGGGAUCAAGAGAGGGCGUGGGAGGCCAAGAAAAAAAUGA
RNAcentral lists this ribosomal RNA (1491 nucleotides) under Triticum aestivum (bread wheat). Its description in RNAcentral is "partial small subunit ribosomal RNA". Lineage: Eukaryota; Viridiplantae; Streptophyta; Magnoliopsida; Poales; Poaceae. The record is from RNAcentral.